CCGAACCGACUAAUGUUGAAAAAUUAGCGGAUGACCUGUGGCUGGGGGUGAAAGGCCAAUCAAACCGGGAGAUAGCUGGUUCUCCCCGAAAGCUAUUUAGGUAGCGCCUCGUGAAUUCAUCUCCGGGGGUAGAGCACUGUUUCGGCUAGGGGGCCAUCCCGGCUUACCAACCCGAUGCAAACUGCGAAUACCGGAGAAUGUUAUCACGGGAGACACACGGCGGGUGCUAACGUCCGUCGUGAAGAGGGAAACAACCCAGACCGCCAGCUAAGGUCCCAAAGUCAUGGUUAAGUGGGAAACGAUGUGGGAAGGCCCAGACAGCCAGGAUGUUGGCUUAGAAGCAGCCAUCAUUUAAAGAAAGCGUAAUAGCUCACUGGUCGAGUCGGCCUGCGCGGAAGAUGUAACGGGGCUAAACCAUGCACCGAAGCUGCGGCAGCGACACUGUGUGUUGUUGGGUAGGGGAGCGUUCUGUAAGCCUGUGAAGGUG
This 487-nucleotide ribosomal RNA is filed under the name Salmonella enterica. Its description in RNAcentral is "partial 23S ribosomal RNA". It matches the Rfam family "Bacterial large subunit ribosomal RNA", at positions 774 to 1258 of the family's 2925-position model. The record is from RNAcentral. Lineage: Bacteria; Pseudomonadati; Pseudomonadota; Gammaproteobacteria; Enterobacterales; Enterobacteriaceae. RNAcentral also lists the same sequence under 1 other name.